RNAcentral lists this non-coding RNA (23 nucleotides) under Arabidopsis thaliana (thale cress). Lineage: Eukaryota; Viridiplantae; Streptophyta; Magnoliopsida; Brassicales; Brassicaceae. The record is from RNAcentral.
GGGUUCGCUUCUGCUUACGACUA